AUCCAGCUGACGAGUCUCGAUUAUGAUGAAAUGCGCGUCAUGGAU
Molecule: non-coding RNA, 45 nt
Organism: Schistosoma haematobium
Lineage: Eukaryota; Metazoa; Platyhelminthes; Trematoda; Strigeidida; Schistosomatidae
Source: Rfam